This is a long non-coding RNA of Panicum virgatum (switchgrass), 930 nucleotides long. RefSeq lists it as uncharacterized. The record is from RefSeq and is a predicted model, not a curated record. The transcript has 2 exons. NCBI's taxonomy places the organism in Eukaryota, Viridiplantae, Streptophyta, Magnoliopsida, Poales, Poaceae.
UCACUCUUGACAUUUCCUCUUCCUCUUCCCAAUUCCCAUCAAAUAAAAAUCACCAUCGCCCCUUCCACUCUCCACUCGCAUAUCAUCGACGAUGCGGCAGCCGGCACCAGCAGCACCCCUUCUAUCAAAACUCCGAGCGGAGGGCGCAGGCGCUGGAGGUGACCAUCGACACCGCCCCCUGCGCCGAUCCGGCCGCGGCCUCCAUCCCGCUGUACUCGAACCGUCGAACGGUCCCGAGUUUGUCGGCGGGCUCAGGCUAGGCUCGGGUCUCACGAGGACGGGGUGCGGACGGGAAGGGACCGCCGCAGACGUGCAUGACGAUGACGAACAACGGCGACGGCCAGCCGCCGGCGUGGGCGGUGAGCUCUUCCGUCCUCUUGGUAGCGAAGGUCACUGUCUUGGAUGUGCAUCCUGCAUCCAUCUGGUCGCUAUCCUUCACUUCUUCCCCAUCCUAUGUCACCUUGCCAGAGCCGCCCCUGACGUUGCCUCUCCCACCCGCUGGCUACGACGUGCAAGUCCCAUGAUCGCUUCUCCUCCCUAGCAGUUAAUAAUCUGGAGUUGCUGGGAAGGCAAUGCAAAUUGGAUGGAAUCAUUUGUUGCAGAUAUAUGUAUUUAAGUAUCAACCUGAUAAGCUUCUGGAGGCUGGAGCUGGUUAAGGUGCCACCCUUCGUCCUCCUCCAUAGUGUGCGGCAUAGCCAUGGCAGGUAGUGCUCCACACCCUCCUGCUGCUCUCAGGAUGAAGGAUACUUGCGAGCAUAUCACCAAAAAAAAAGCAUAAAUGAAUGUUUCCAUUAUGAAUUUCUCUGAUGUAAAAUGGAAAAGCAACUAUCUGUUUUCUUACUUAGUCCAUCACUAUCUGUUCUAUUAACUUAUGUAUAAGAAGACGUAUACAAUCAGCUUACUUACAUGCAGACGCAUUGCAUUCUUCCA